AUACGUAGGGGGCGAGCGUUAUCCGGAUUUAUUGGGCGUAAAGCGUGUGUAGGCGGUUUAUUAAGUAUAAGAUUAAAGCCCGAAGCUUAACUUCGGUUCGUCUUAUAAACUGGUAGACUUGAGUAUGGUAGAGGCAAAUGGAAUUUCUAGUGUAGCGGUAAAAUGCGUAGAUAUUAGAAGGAACACCAGUGGCGAAGGCGGUUUGCUGGGCCAUUACUGACGCUGAGACACGAAAGCGU
Molecule: ribosomal RNA, 239 nt
Filed under: uncultured bacterium
Lineage: Bacteria
Description: partial 16S ribosomal RNA
Rfam family: Bacterial small subunit ribosomal RNA
Source: RNAcentral